Molecule: non-coding RNA, 593 nt
Organism: Poecilia reticulata (guppy)
Lineage: Eukaryota; Metazoa; Chordata; Actinopteri; Cyprinodontiformes; Poeciliidae
Source: RefSeq, a predicted model, not a curated record
UUCUCUAUCGAUAGAUAUUUCUCCCAUCACCCAAUUUUGGAUCAGGUUGGACAAAGACUCUGUUCAUUCCAAGACCCUGCUGAUAAUCACUUCCAGACAUCUUAGGUCCUUUCUUCAUUGUUAGAUAAUUCUCCCAUCAGCAAGAAGGGAAGAUCCUAAACCUUUUUUUUUCUGCACGAGGCUGGACAAGACUCUGUUCAUUCCAAGACCGCUGCUGAUCUGAUCCUAUUCAAGGUAGAAACUUGCUGCGUACAUUGUUUUUUACUUUUCUUUUUUUUUUAAAGGGGAAAGCUUACAUCCUGAUAAUGUCGGUGCUUUCCGAAUUUCAGUACGACGAACUAUUAGGCAAUCUUGUCUCACAAGAUACGGAGAGGACGGUCAUAUCGCAAUUAGUCUACGAUGAGACCUCGAGGGAGAACCGGGAGCCCAGCAGACCACUCACCAACGGCCGGGGCUUUGCUCUUUCCCCAGUUCACCCUCGAAGCAGAUAGUGCAGAGAACUUCUCUGUGAUCUUGGUUAAAAUGUUGACAUCUUGUUGAUCUUUUAUAAAAACAACAUCGUCAGCGUAGGCAGAUAAAACCAUACCAUAAAC